This 334-nucleotide ribosomal RNA is filed under the name uncultured bacterium. RNAcentral's name for it is "bacterial SSU rRNA". It matches the Rfam family "Bacterial small subunit ribosomal RNA", at positions 22 to 356 of the family's 1533-position model. The record is from RNAcentral.
GCUCAGGAUGAACGCUGGCGGCAUGCCUUACACAUGCAAGUCGAACGGCAGCAUAGGAGCUUGCUCCUGAUGGCGAGUGGCGAACGGGUGAGUAAUAUAUCGGAACGUGCCCUAGAGUGGGGGAUAACUAGUCGAAAGACUAGCUAAUACCGCAUACGAUCUACGGAUGAAAGUGGGGGAUCGCAAGACCUCAUGCUCCUGGAGCGGCCGAUAUCUGAUUAGCUAGUUGGUGGGGUAAAAGCCUACCAAGGCAACGAUCAGUAGCUGGUCUGAGAGGACGACCAGCCACACUGGGACUGAGACACGGCCCAGACUCCUACGGGAGGCAGCAGUA